GGGGAUUCUAAUAUCCCUCACCACAAGUCCCUUGUUUGGCAAAAAACUCCAGAGGGACUUGAAUGACCUCGGAUUUUAAGAAAGGGAUAUUAGGAGGGAUCUUUAUUAAUGAGAAUCCCUUGUAUGAGUUCCGCCUCUUUAGGCGUAACUUUGAAAUUUCAAAAACCAAAGCAACGUGACCGGACCACCUUGAUUUCUCGCGAAUUCCUAUCCUUGAAUCGCUGAUUCUCAGGGACCUCUCACACAUUGUUCUUGUCCACUACCGGGAAGUAAAGUUAAUGAGAAAUAGUUUUUAGUGAUUGGAAGUUUGAUUCCUAAAAAUGUUGGUAAAGAUUUGCUAUUGAUCGAAGCCACUAACAGGUGGAUUGUAUUUCGUGAUCAAUUGGUGAUGGAUAUGUUUGCUGACUACCAAAGGCAUCGAGCUCAACAA
Long non-coding RNA from Rosa chinensis, 430 nucleotides. RefSeq lists it as uncharacterized. The transcript has 2 exons. The record is from RefSeq and is a predicted model, not a curated record. NCBI's taxonomy places the organism in Eukaryota, Viridiplantae, Streptophyta, Magnoliopsida, Rosales, Rosaceae.